CGGUGUGUCUGGUGGAGAACAUUAAUUUAAAAAAAUCGGUAUCGCUAAGACACCCACCAAGCGAAAGCUAAGGGUCCCCCCUUUCAUUUGAGACUUAAAGGAGAAAGUUCUAUCGGCGGGUCUAGAACAAUUUUUUUUUUUGAAAAAAUAUGAUAUUUUUUUAAUUUUUUUCGAAGAACACAUUUAUGACAAAACACUGUUUUUCCAUUGCAAGCAUGAUUUUCCGACGAUAUAUUUUUUAUAUUAUGUUUAUUAUUCUUCACAUAAAAGCACAAUAGUCCCAUGUGAAUGGGAAAUCCAGUAGAUGACAGUUUUGUGUUUAUGGACAGUGUGGUGAAAGUACUAGAACAGUGAGUAUAAAAUCGAGUUAUAUGCUGUUCCUUUGAAUUCCAAUCUAGAUUCCAAUAAUGUGUUUGCAUCCUAUGACAGAUGCGUAUACGUCUUUAGGGUCUCGUAUUUGACUGGCACCAGCAGGUCACCAAUCGACCACCUUUACAGCAUAUACCGUCAUUUGGUUCUUCAGAUUUGUGCUCUUGAAAUUUCGGGGUGUGACUUCGUCAUAUAUUCUUCUCAAACAGCUUUUUAACUUCAAUGCGCGUCUGGUACUCAAGACACAUGUUUUCUGUCGUCUUCUUCUUCUUCUCCUUCUUGUUCUUCUUCUUCUUCUUCUUCUUCUUCUUCUUGGCGAAACGUCCCUACAGGGACAAAGCAUGCUUCUUAGCUUGUUCUAUGAGCACUGUAGGAGAUGUAAUAAGAAUAAAUGAAAUUGUUUGAUUUGUUUGAAAUUUUCUUAUUUUAUCUCCUACAAGCACUUUCACAGUUUUUAACUAAAAACUUCUUUUGCCAAUUACUAGUUUGCAUGUGUAUAGCGUGUGAUUUGCACGAAAAUACUGCAUGCUCAUUUAAGUCGAGGAAAUUUCCUUCACGAAAAGGUCCUGGACUUACCGGGAAUCGAACCCGUCACCCUCAGCUGUGGCUUUAUGGGCACUUUUCGUUAUCAAAAACAAAUCAUCGGUAAACAAAAUCGGUUUACUGUUCUGGUCACUCGUUGACGCCGGUUUCCAUCUGGAUGGUAGUUCAUGAAUAUUUAAGAGCUUCAUCUGAUCAGCCUGAUCUCUGGGUUUUGCCCGCAAAUAUUCAGCAACCUCAGCAACUUUAUGAGAAGUCUCAAUGAUGUUCAACAAGUUUCAAUGUACUUCAGCUUUAGUGCAAACAAACUGCUUGCCUUUGAUCAUUUUCCUGUAUAUUCGCCACCAUUGAAUGAGAUAAAUUUAAAUGAGCAAGUCCGAACUUUUUUGUGGGGUAGUACUAACUGCUAUCUCUGAUAUCUUUCAGAAAAAAGUUUUCAUAAUAUCAACAACCUGCAAGUAGAAACAAGAACAAGUUGAGACAUUUUCAAUCCGUUCUGAUUAAUAUGUAUGUGCUCAGACAUAUGUACUUUAAUGUCAAACAUGUGUAUAUGUCAAUAAAGCUGUAGAAUUGAAUGAAAAGUUGCUAACUCGUCUAUAAUGCCAUGAUGCUAGCAGAAGAUGUGGAGCGGACCUGGUAUGAUGGUUAGAACACUUGACUAUCACGCCGAGGACCUGGGAUCGAGUCCCACUCCCAACAAACUCGCAAAAUGUGAGUUCUGCCUUCGGAAGGGAAGUGAAGCGUGGGUCCCGAGAUGAGCUAGCCAAGGGCUAAAAAUCUCGUUAAUACAGAUUUAAAAAAAAUAGCAAAAGAUCAAACUAUUGAUAACCGACAGUUUAGCACGUUGUUCUUAUUACAUAUACCGUUAGACAUGUGGCAUUAAUUAUUCUGUUUUUGUCAGUUGAGUAAGGCUACCUGUUCACAAAGAUAUACUGUUACUAAUAUUUUUUAUGUCUAAUUACCCGUUAUUAGACAAUUUUACUAAACAAAUCUAAAACAGUGAAUAUUAACUGCUUUUGAUGUUAAUUGUAGCGGAAAAACACUUCUUCAAACACAAAACGUACUCUUUGGUUUGGUUUUCUUCGUCACUUAGGGGGUUCUUGUCGUAGUUGUUUCUUUAAAAGUAAGGAGCUAUACCUUACUGCAAUAGUCUAAAUUAACUAAAAAUGUUUAAAUCUUAAGUACCAUAAAGGUGCACAAAUUGAACAAAUUUCGGCUUGUGAUAAUUCCAUCCGAGCCACGGCAUACAAGGAUAUAAGACAGACCAUCACAUUGAUAAAAUUGGUGUGGAGUUCUAGAUCGUUUUAUUCAUGCUUUUGAACGAUUUAAAUUACAUCAUCAAAAAACUUUCAGUUUUCCGAAAUGGAUUACCUUCCAAAUGUUGUGCCCCGUUAUCUGAACUACUUUGAUGUAUGUUCUAUUUUUGUAGCCAUUACUCGGCCUACUUUGAUCGUAAAACUGUUAAAUCAUAAGAAACUGUCAAUAAAAAAUAAGAAAAUUGCAGCCGCAAUAACUACUUCCACAUAAAAAGCGAAGUUUAUUUGUAUAUAUGCCCAGAUACUGCUGAAAUUCUAUUCAACUGCCUUAAUUUUUUUGCACUUUAUGUCUAAGCAAUAUUUUGUAAGGAAAAUUUUUAAUUUUUGAUUUGACCCGUUUACUCUUUUGAAAGGACACGUUAGUAAUGGGCGACCUCAUACAAGCCCAUUUGGCUACACUCAAGGUUGAAAAAAGAAAAAAACACAAGCCUCAAAGAUAGUAAUAUUUGAAAAAAAAAAAUUGUUCUAGACCCGCCGAUAGAACUUUCUCCUUUUAGUCUCAAAUGAAAGAGGGGACCUUCAGCUUUCGUUUGGUGGGUGUUUUAGCGAUACCGAUUUUUUUAAAUUAAUUUUGUUCUAUCAGACACACCGUGUCCCAUUUCGAUAUUAACGGACCGACGAAAACAGAACGACGGCAAAGCUGCCAACAAAGAAGGCAGAGACACUUCAUCUGUCCAGCGGAUCACCUGCUGUUUCAUCCCCUACUAUUGCCAGUGCCACAGCAGGAGUAUUGCUUUUUGUAAUCAAUUCAUCCGGAUCCAAGUCGGAAGAGCGGAAGUCUUCCACAGUCCUCACAGUUCUCCUGUUUCCAGCAAGAAGGCUUUCGAGCAAAACGAGCUCCUCGCAGUAUUCUACCUCAUACGUUGCCGCAGCAUGCCACGACAUCCAUCCCAUGCCGCUCGGCUCUUGGCAGUUUCGACGUAUCCAGGCCCAUGCCAUCAACCUGGAACCGGCACACAGGUCCUUGAAAACCUCGCCCCUUUCGAUGGAUUUUUAGAUCAAUUCAUCGGUGUCUUCCUCACGAGGGUCAUCUACCUACCACAGGAAGCCUCAAAUGACCCACAGAAAUGCAACGCGUUGCGGUUAUGCAACCAAAGGAAAUAUUUUGAUAUCGGAAAUUCCGCAACCGCUCCAGAUUCCAAACUUUCCUGAAUGUCUCGUGUUUAAUUUCGUGUAGGAAUAAUCUCCCAGAAGGAUUUCAAGCAUUAUAGCCUGAUAUGGACCGGGCAAUAUUCUCAAGCCUUCUUGUUAUAUUGUCCUCAGCUUCCAACGGCAUAAAUAUUGUGAAUUCCUAUGGAGGUGAAAUCACUAGAAGAACUAUCCAGGAACCAUAUUACGUUUUUGCCCAUAUUAUCCGAGCUCACGGGAGGGGAAAACACAAAAUUCCUCCUGCAGAAAGGCUUCAGCGGCCAGUUAAAAGUUUCGGGGGAUUCGGAUGGAAGUGGAACCACCGUGGAUUUCGACGAUGCUACAACGAAAACUGCUCUGCCUUUCCUGGAAGUGAUACCACCACCAGCAGUGAGCAGCGUCAAUCCGGAAGUGUUCGUGGAUGGAGCAGCAGCUCCAUGUUCCGGCAGAUCACCUCCGAACGGCUACGGAAGCUGCAUGAGUGCACGGAAAGGCUACCAGGUGGAAAACGUGGAUGACCGGUUGAAGACGAUGCCUAUCGAUGAGUGUAGCUGCCAUCGGGUUUGAAAAUGGUUCAACUGUAGUUCUCAUAUAGGACACAAGCCACACACCGGGCUGCGGAAGAGGAGAUGCUCCAGGAAGAUUUGCUGUGAAAGUAGUUUAACGAUGCUGAAGAGUAAAAAAAAAACGGUGAAGAAAACCAGGGCGUGAUCGAAAGAUACCAGUUUUGUUUUUUAAUA
Long non-coding RNA from Aedes albopictus (Asian tiger mosquito), 4093 nucleotides. RefSeq lists it as uncharacterized. The transcript is spliced from 3 exons. Lineage: Eukaryota; Metazoa; Arthropoda; Insecta; Diptera; Culicidae. The record is from RefSeq and is a predicted model, not a curated record.